Long non-coding RNA from Lycium ferocissimum, 333 nucleotides. RefSeq lists it as uncharacterized. The transcript has 2 exons. Lineage: Eukaryota; Viridiplantae; Streptophyta; Magnoliopsida; Solanales; Solanaceae. The record is from RefSeq and is a predicted model, not a curated record.
UGACACCUGCGAGCUCGAGAAGUAGACGUUGGACAUUAGAUAGAGUUCAAGGUAGAUAGGGAGGUGAGCUUGAUCCAAAUUCUUAGUAGCUGUCAGCUGAUUGAGAGAACUCCAUUGUUCGGAGGUGCUUAUGUUUAUUCUUUUGGUUCCUUUAUGUAUUUUGCGCACGACGGAGUCUUGUUCCGUCUAUAUGUAUAAUAUGCCAGUAGAGUCUCGUAGACGCGCAGUGUGGGUUAGAUGGUCUCACAAGAUUACUAUGUUAUAUUUGUAUAUGUUAUUUUGAUGGCCUAAGGGGCACAUGUAUAUAAAAUCAUUUGUGUUGUCAAAUAAAAA